ACUAACAACAGCGGAUGAUGCGUCGUUACUUAAGCUUUCAACUGCGACCUCAUCGGAUUCUCUGUCCACGUCAUCACCGACAUUGAGAUCAUUCAAUGAGCUACCAAUAUAUGAAUUGGCCGCCGUCCUCAAAUCAUAGUGCUCCACCGGAACCCUACUCCCCAUUCACUUCACUGCCCUACAGAAAAACCAUUUCUAAUCAUGCACUGAUUAGUGAUUAUCCAUGUGAAGAAAAGAGGGUUUAACGGCUACACAGACCUGUUUACCUUAGUGUGCCGAGCCUGUCGCUAGAUUAGUAAAAACCCCAAAGCAAGAAACCUAGCCCGCCCACUGAUGUCCGUACCAGCUUCCAAGCCAGCAAACUCGCUUUGCAGAAAUUUCAGAAGAGAGAGAGAGAGAAAGGGUGGAUCGGAUGCUAUAUGAAGUUUACUUUUCUUUUUCCAUUUUUUCUUUUUUCUUACUUUUAUUUCAACCCCAAC
Molecule: long non-coding RNA, 479 nt
Filed under: Olea europaea (common olive)
Lineage: Eukaryota; Viridiplantae; Streptophyta; Magnoliopsida; Lamiales; Oleaceae
Description: long non-coding RNA (OEUR_LNC014102)
Source: RNAcentral